RNAcentral lists this ribosomal RNA (1359 nucleotides) under uncultured bacterium. RNAcentral describes it as "bacterial SSU rRNA". It matches the Rfam family "Bacterial small subunit ribosomal RNA", at positions 28 to 1381 of the family's 1533-position model. The record is from RNAcentral.
GAUGAACGCUAGCUACAGGCUUAACACAUGCAAGUCGAGGGGCAGCAUGGUCUUAGCUUGCUAAGGCCGAUGGCGACCGGCGCACGGGUGAGUAACACGUAUCCAACCUGCCGUCUACUCUUGGACAGCCUUCUGAAAGGAAGAUUAAUACAAGAUGGCAUCAUGAGUCCACAUGUUCACAUGAUUAAAGGUAUUCCGGUAGACGAUGGGGAUGCGUUCCAUUAGAUAGUAGGCGGGGUAACGGCCCACCUAGUCUUCGAUGGAUAGGGGUUCUGAGAGGAAGGUCCCCCACAUUGGAACUGAGACACGGUCCAAACUCCUACGGGAGGCAGCAGUGAGGAAUAUUGGUCAAUGGGCGAGAGCCUGAACCAGCCAAGUAGCGUGAAGGAUGACUGCCCUAUGGGUUGUAAACUUCUUUUAUAAAGGAAUAAAGUCGGGUAUGGAUACCCGUUUGCAUGUACUUUAUGAAUAAGGAUCGGCUAACUCCGUGCCAGCAGCCGCGGUAAUACGGAGGAUCCGAGCGUUAUCCGGAUUUAUUGGGUUUAAAGGGAGCGUAGAUGGAUGUUUAAGUCAGUUGUGAAAGUUUGCGGGCUCAACCGUAAAAUUGCAGUUGAUACUGGAUAUCUUGAGUGCAGUUGAGGCAGGCGGAAUUCGUGGUGUAGCGGUGAAAUGCUUAGAUAUCACGAAGAACUCCGAUUGCGAAGGCAGCCUGCUAAGCUGCAACUGACAUUGAGGCUCGAAAGUGUGGGUAUCAAACAGGAUUAGAUACCCUGGUAGUCCACACGGUAAACGAUGAAUACUCGCUGUUUGCGAUAUACAGCAAGCGGCCAAGCGAAAGCGUUAAGUAUUCCACCUGGGGAGUACGCCGGCAACGGUGAAACUCAAAGGAAUUGACGGGGGCCCGCACAAGCGGAGGAACAUGUGGUUUAAUUCGAUGAUACGCGAGGAACCUUACCCGGGCUUAAAUUGCAGAUGAAUUACGGUGAAAGCCGUAAGCCGCAAGGCAUCUGUGAAGGUGCUGCAUGGUUGUCGUCAGCUCGUGCCGUGAGGUGUCGGCUUAAGUGCCAUAACGAGCGCAACCCUUGUUGUCAGUUACUAACAGGUUCCGCUGAGGACUCUGACAAGACUGCCAUCGUAAGAUGUGAGGAAGGUGGGGAUGACGUCAAAUCAGCACGGCCCUUACGUCCGGGGCUACACACGUGUUACAAUGGGGGGUACAGAGGGCCGCUACCACGCGAGUGGAUGCCAAUCCCAAAAACCUCUCUCAGUUCGGACUGGAGUCUGCAACCCGACUCCACGAAGCUGGAUUCGCUAGUAAUCGCGCAUCAGCCACGGCGCGGUGAAUACGUUCCCGGGCCU